GUAUAAUGGGUCAGCGACUUAUAUUCUGUAGCAAGGUUAACCGUAUAGGGGAGCCGGAGGGAAACCGAGUCUUAACCGGGCGUUAAGUUGCAGGGUAUAGACCCGAAACCCGGUGAUCUAGCCAUGGGCAGGUUGAAGGUUGGGUAACACUAACUGGAGGACCGAACCGACUAAUGUUGAAAAAUUAGCGGAUGACCUGUGGCUGGGGGUGAAAGGCCAAUCAAACCGGGAGAUAGCUGGUUCUCCCCGAAAGCUAUUUAGGUAGCGCCUCGUGAAUUCAUCUCCGGGGGUAGAGCACUGUUUCGGCUAGGGGGCCAUCCCGGCUUACCAACCCGAUGCAAACUGCGAAUACCGGAGAAUGUUAUCACGGGAGACACACGGCGGGUGCUAACGUCCGUCGUGAAGAGGGAAACAACCCAGACCGCCAGCUAAGGUCCCAAAGUCAUGGUUAAGUGGGAAACGAUGUGGGAAGGCCCAGACAGCCAGGAUGUUGGCUUAGAAGCAGCCAUCAUUUAAAGAAAGCGUAAUAGCUCACUGGUCGAGUCGGCCUGCGCGGAAGAUGUAACGGGGCUAAACCAUGCACCGAAGCUGCGGCAGCGAACGUAUCACCCAAGACAACUUUACGGAGUUGACGAUUGACGGAGCGAAGCGACGUCAAAGCGUUCAUUAAAGUCGAGUUGGCUUAGGGAUACGUUCGUUGGGUAGGGGAGCGUUCUGUAAGCCUGUGAAGGUGUGUCGUGAGGCAUGCUGGAGGUAUCAGAAGUGCGAAUGCUGACAUAAGUAACGAUAAAGCGGGUGAAAAGCCCGCUCGCCGGAAGACCAAGGGUUCCUGUCCAACGUUAAUCGGGGCAGGGUGAGUCGACCCCUAAGGCGAGGCCGAAAGGCGUAGUCGAUGGGAAACGGGUUAAUAUUCCCGUACUUGGUGUUACUGCGAAGGGGGGACGGAGAAGGCUAUGUUGGCCGGGCGACGGUUGUCCCGGUUUAAGCGUGUAGGUGUGUGUUCCAGGUAAAUCCGGUUCACUUUAACACUGAGGCGUGACGACGAGGCACUACGGUGCUGAAGCAACAAAUGCCCUGCUUCCAGGAAAAGCCUCUAAGCAUCAGGUAACAUCAAAUCGUACCCCAAACCGACACAGGUGGUCAGGUAGAGAAUACCAAGGCGCUUGAGAGAACUCGGGUGAAGGAACUAGGCAAAAUGGUGCCGUAACUUCGGGAGAAGGCACGCUGACACGUAGGUGAAGUGAUUUACUCAUGGAGCUGAAGUCAGUCGAAGAUACCAGCUGGCUGCAACUGUUUAUUAAAAACACAGCACUGUGCAAACACGAAAGUGGACGUAUACGGUGUGACGCCUGCCCGGUGCCGGAAGGUUAAUUGAUGGGGUCAGCGCAAGCGAAGCUCCUGAUCGAAGCCCCGGUAAACGGCGGCCGUAACUAUAACGGUCCUAAGGUAGCGAAAUUCCUUGUCGGGUAAGUUCCGACCUGCACGAAUGGCGUAAUGAUGGCCAGGCUGUCUCCACCCGAGACUCAGUGAAAUUGAACUCGCUGUGAAGAUGCAGUGUACCCGCGGCAAGACGGAAAGACCCCGUGAACCUUUACUAUAGCUUGACACUGAACAUUGAGCCUUGAUGUGUAGGAUAGGUGGGAGGCUUUGAAGUGUGGACGCCAGUCUGCAUGGAGCCGACCUUGAAAUACCACCCUUUAAUGUUUGAUGUUCUAACGUGGACCCGUAAUCCGGGUUGCGGACAGUGUCUGGUGGGUAGUUUGACUGGGGCGGUCUCCUCCUAAAGAGUAACGGAGGAGCACGAAGGUUGGCUAAUCCUGGUCGGACAUCAGGAGGUUAGUGCAAUGGCAUAAGCCAGCUUGACUGCGAGCGUGACGGCGCGAGCAGGUGCGAAAG
Molecule: ribosomal RNA, 1896 nt
Filed under: Salmonella enterica
Lineage: Bacteria; Pseudomonadati; Pseudomonadota; Gammaproteobacteria; Enterobacterales; Enterobacteriaceae
Description: partial 23S ribosomal RNA
Rfam family: Bacterial large subunit ribosomal RNA
Source: RNAcentral